Molecule: long non-coding RNA, 7464 nt
Organism: Sapajus apella (tufted capuchin)
Lineage: Eukaryota; Metazoa; Chordata; Mammalia; Primates; Cebidae
Exons: 2
Source: RefSeq, a predicted model, not a curated record
AGGCCCAGGCCUCCUGUUGGCCCUUGCGUUUCAUGGUGGUCCCCCUCAUUCCGGCCUGCAGUUUGCCCUCCCUGGCUGCAACAUCGCCCGGUCUUCUGGGUAUCUUUCUAAGCUGUUAGGUUCCAUUGAAAUGUGUCCUUCUGUACUUUAUUGUGACCAGAGUCCCUUGAAAAAAUUCAGGGCAGAUUUUCAAAUGGCUAGAAGUCAUUACUCAGGGAAGCACAGAAGGGGUUAAGGAGGGAACUCAAGAAUCCAGCACAGGUUAGAAAUACUCUGUUCCUUAGCUUCAAAAUAGGAAGAGCUCAAUUUGAAUUAGGUCGGGAGAGAAACCGAAGGAAAAGCCCUCUGUCUGGAAUCCAGAAAAGGCAUUCACAAGACAUCUGAAUGUGUUAUCUUUUUUUCCUACACUGAAAGUCAAUACCUUAGAAACCGUGAAUGCUGGGAAAACUCACUGAGGAUAUACAGACGGACAGCUAAGGACCUCUCAGGGUUCCUUUCAUCCUGCGGGUUUUAGGGGCUCCCAUCACAGCAGGUCUGAAUCUAAGAGAACCCCCAGGCUGGGCUACACGCUAAGGAAGAAGUAAUCGGUUGGUGAGUAGGGCCUCUGACUGUGCUUUGGCUCUGGUAUUUCUUGAAGCCUUGUCACAAACUCAGUUAGAGCAUCACGAGCCUGGCCUACUGAGUGGUCCCAGUGCUGGCCUCCCCUUGACGGACGUGUGGCUCCCUUGCCUCUCCCAGCCAUAAAACAGGCCAGUUGUGUUUUCCUCGGGGGACUGUGACCCACAGGGACAGUCUAGCGUGGUGCUCAGCACAAAGUCCAAAGCUGUCUCCAAGACACAGCUGUGACCAGGGCUGCAUCACUGCCUACCCCCAGCACGGUUAGUCCUUCUGGGUAAUGGAGAGGCCUUUUGCUGCAGAAAAGCUUCACAGAACUGUGCCCGUGAGAUCACGAGACCCUCACCCCAACAGCAUGCUGGCACCCAGCCCACAGCAGCCCUUCUCAUGGUGCCUUGUGCCUGCGGUCCCAGAGCCAAAGACUCCGGAGGCUUGGGGCUAAGGUUGUGUAUUUUUGCAAGCAGGCCAGGCGACUGUGGCACACCUGUGGGUUUGAGAGUUUUGGAGCGGAAGAAUGCCUCUUCUGGAUGUGAGGCAGCUUGGAGGAUGCAGUUUUUAUAGCGCUCACAGAGGCUGUACUCACCUGCAACCAUCUUGCCUGCCCCACUCGCCUGGACCUGCCACUCUCUCGCAAGGGCCGCUUGUCUCGGAGCCAGAAUCGCCAGCUCCAGCCCACCCAUCUCGAGGGAGAGAAGGGGCUCUGGGGCUCAGUGAUGGUUUUCACAGGAGACUUCAUGAGUGGAGCUGCCCUUGUUGGGAAGCAGCUUCCCCUGCGAUUUGGGGCAUGUGCCAUGGACUUUGAACUUGGGGCUCCCACUUGAAACCACAACUUUUCCCCAGCCAUGGCCUCUGCCGUGUCCUAUAACUCAGUCUUAGUGGCUCUAGAGGAUGUCUUCCUGUCUUCUUGAGGGGUCCCCUGGGGGUCCCCAAAUCAAUUGGCUGUGUGCCCCCUGGCCACUGAGCCUGCAACACUCUGCCCAGAGCUAUGGCUCUGGCUCAGACCUCCCUGGCAGGGUGGACGAAGCUCCAUCACCAUGCAGGUGGCCAGCCCUCACUGCACGAUGAGGCAAUUUUGCUGCCGCCUUGCUGGACACAUCCCUGGGAAGGUCACAGGCACUUGGGCCUCAGUGUCUCCAUCUGAAAAAGGAAAGCAUUCCACAACAUGUGGCCAAACUAAACUUCUGGCUCGGAUCUUCCCACAUUCUUUGGUUUGUUUAUCCUCAGAAUUCUAACAUCCCUGCUUCAGCUCACAUCCAGCUACGCUCUCGAUCAUGCCAGGAGAUGCCCCCAGAUCUCUGCUUCUGCUCACCUCCCAUUGAUUGCAGAAACAUCUGCUUGGACUCCAUGUCUUUCUCUAUCCCCUCGUGUAGUGAUGUGGAAUCAGGAGUAGCCAAGCAGCUAAUGGCAAGCCAGAAGGAUGGGCAUCCCCUCUCCCUGACCGGGGUCUGCAGAAGGGAAGGCCAAAGUGUGGGUUUAGACCUCAGCAUGUUGGGGAGGUGGUGCUGGGGGUGGUGGCGGGCAGGGGAGAUGGGAAGGAUGGCAAGUUUCAGAGCGAUCUCCAGAUGGAAUGAGAAGGCUCCCUGGGUUCAACCCUGGCCCCACCUCAGCUGGCCAGGUGUUCUUGGGCAGGUUCUUUAACUGCUCUUUGCCUGAGUGGCCUCUGUAAAAUGGGAAUAGUAAUAAUAAUAAUAAUAAUAAUAUACACACCUACCUCACGGGGUUGCCUUGAGGAUGAAAUCAGUCAAUACUCAGAAAGCCCCAAGACUACAACCUGGCACAGAGCAAGCAUUUGAAAAACAUGAGCCGCCACCACCACCCUCUUUGGGAUUAACCAGACUGGAGAACUGCUGACUGUUUUGAGGUCUGGGGACAGGUCCCUGUUCUUCCCAGGCCCUGGGGCCAGACAUCCAGGUAGGUGGUAGAGCUAUUCACGGGGAUCAGGAAAACAGAAACUGGAAGCUCAUAAGGGAAAGGAAGUCCACCCGUUCUUUUUUGGUGGAGGCCAGGAGCGAUGCCUUGCUCCAGUUCCAUUGUACCCACCUGGGCCUGUGGGUGGCCGUCACAGCACCCCACAACCCCCGCAGCCUGGCCCGGUGGCUUCUGCAGGGAUUGCUGUCUGUUGUCUUUGAAUCACACUGCUGGAGAGUAGUUUGCAUAGAUUCCCAAGUUUGUAAUUAAAACAACCGAGAAACAAUUUUCACUAUAUAUAUAUUAAAAAAAGAAAAACAAGAGCUAAACAGAAAGUCUCUUUUAAGCAGAUGUUGUGCUGUGAGCCAUGUAGAAAAAUUAUUUUAUCAUCAACCAAGCCUGCGUAUCUCAAGGCCUGAAAGAAACUAAGGGGAUGUCUUUUCUACUAACCCAGCAUUUUUUAGCUCCUAAUAUCAUUUCACAUUUAAAGGUGACAGCAAUAUCUUUAACGUUUUUCUAUUGGAUUAAUAACAUUUAAUGUUCAAAGCCAUAAAGCGAAAUGUUUUCGUGAGGGUGCUUUACAUCACUAAUAGAAAAUCCAAGUUAAAAAAAAAAGACCACACAUACCAUGUAAUAGACGUGGAGAGCUGUAAACCCAAAAAGGGAACCCAGGCGUGGAGGUGGGAGCCUGGGCAUAGAGGUGGGUUCCCUGGGUGGAUGGGCAGGUGGGUGCCCAAGGCCCUGAGCCCUGACUGGCCAGCCAGAGCCAGGAGGGGGUGGGUGCUUGUGGGGGUGAGAACACACCCACCCACCAGCCAUUCAUCUCCACCCAGCAGCGGAAUAUGACAAUGUUAGCAUUUUUCAUUUCCCUGACGUUACCAUUAAUAAAGCAAUGAUCCAAAAGAGGCUUCGCUGAGUCUGUGCUUUAUGCUCCCAUCACUCACGACUAGAUAAUUUCACACAGGAUCGUUUUAAAAUUAAAUGACGAUAAAAACGCUCUGCUGUUCUGUGUUCACCAGUUCAUAGAAGUCUAUCAAGUCAUUAAUGUGUCAUGACAAACUGCUCGAUGGAUACAAGAGUAAUUAAUUAUUUGAAUAAAUAACAAGUUGAACUUGGAGCUUUGAACCACAAUGACAUACGCAUCCCAUUAGGGGCGUCUUGGAGCCUCCGCAGGGCACCGGUAUGAAGAGUUAAAAUGCAGGCCAGGGUAUUGGAAGUGAUGAAAACCAAUUUCGUAAACACAGGGUAACAUUUUACAGGGAGAAAGCCGAAGUGUCACAUUUCUGUGCCCACAUGAGGUUCAGUGUUAAAAGUUCCCUGCCAGCGGCCAUUUCAAGAUGCCACUUGAUCAGAGAUGAUUUCAGAGAACAAUUAUACAGAUUUUCAUAAUCACCAUUAAUCUCUGCAUAUUUUUCAAGAUAAUUACAGCAAUUAUUAUUUAGAUUUCUCUUUUAUAUGCCCAUUGUAGAAAGGAACAAGUGCUUAUUAUACUGGAUAGUUGAGAGAACCUUGGAUGAGAAUUCUUUGUCAUCUCUGCACUCAUUACUUCAACCCGCGUUGCCUCUGAAAGUUCAUCAGCUCCAGAAAUUAGAAUAAUACCAGCAGCUCUGUUAUUAAAUCUUAAGGUUGAGCCGAGACCGUGGUUAGAGUGGCUGGCUGAAUUGUUCAUUUGUGGGACUGCCGAGCUCAGGUGGAAUUACUGUCAGGUGGCAGGAGAUGCCCCUGACAGGUACAGGCAGAGAUGGGUGGCUGCCUCACACCCAUUUUCCCUGAUAGGCUUACUGAGUGAACUCACAACCAAUAUUUAGAGGAUACAUUUUCGUGACAUGCCCUUUAAAGGUUAAUAUUAAAUCUUAAAUCUGCAUAAUUUAUGGCAUUCCACCUCAUAGACACAGCGACCAGACAGAAGGCAGCACAACACUUUCCUUGAUAUUUCCAAAUCAAAGUGCUUGUCAGCUCGGGCAUCAGCUCCAUCUCAAGGUGCACCUGCUGCCUUAUCCCGCUGUGGUCCUGCAAGCUGGUCCAUUGGAGUUGAGUCCUGGGCCGGUGGGUAUGUUGUGUGAUGCUUUCAAGAGAAGCCCUUUCCCGGGGAAAUGGUUCUUAACAGUCCUGCUGGUUGGAAGUGCACCUCUGGCUAGGUUGGUGUGUGUCCUCCUGCACCCCGUCCCCACAAGAGGCGUGGGUUCUAAGAGCUCCCAUGCUCUCACAUACACCAUGAGGACCGUCAGCUGCAUCCAGCUCGGCUAGAUGCCAUGAGUCGCUAUGUGAGGGGUAGGAAAGCCAGGUAUUCAGUUUUGAACUGAGAAGUCCAGUAUUUCUGCUUGCUAUAAAAUGAGAAAAAUACAAGGCAUAGAAAUGCCUUUUUCCUCCAUAAAUUGUUUUAUUAUAAAUAGAUGUACUGAUUCAAAUGUACUCAAGCAGUACCAACUCACACAAGGUAGAAGUGGGGUUUAGAUGGCUGCUGACGCUCUGUGACAGGUCCCUCUUUAUUGGUCUGACCCUGGCCACCAUGGUGACUCAUCUUUUGGAAUCACCUGGUGACUCUAGGGAGGAAGAAGCCUGGGGCCCUCUCAGCAGCCUCUCCCAGGUGGCCACCCCCCGAGGGGUCACCCCCAGCCUGAGCUCCGAAGCUUCCAUCCCUGAUUCUCUGGGUUCUCUUGAGGGUCCUCAGGUUCUGGGGAACUUGGUCCCCCUAAUCAAGGUCAGAAGAUCCCUGUGCUGUGGUACCAGAUGUCAUAUUUUAGACCAUUCUUUUUAACCUGUAGGGAGUCUUUUUGAAAUCUUAAGUAAAAUUUGUAUCAAGAUUAUAGCUUUCCAGUUUAUGCAAUACUCAAGCCUACUGUCUUCACUCCAGUACUUGGGCAGAUAAAUGAAGGAUUAAAUCAUGGAAUCCAAGCAAGGAGUUGGAAUGUUCCUCUUUCAUAGAGUCCUAGAGAAUCCCCAUUGUGAAGCAGUUUCUUCUGGGCACAUGACUUUAUUCACUCAUCUGUCCAUCACCUCGUCCAGGCCUUAACUACCAAGAGUCCCCCUGAGCUACAGGCACUGGGCCAACAGGGACCAUGGUUCCCUCAUGGAGCUCAUGAGCAGGGGAAGACAUCCGGUCAGAUGAUUGGAGCACAGUCAUCCUGGGAGCACAAACCAUCCACUCUGAUGUGUGGUAGCUCAGGAGGCAGCCCAGGGGGUAACGUUUCUGCCCUUUGAGGAGUUCACAAGCGGGUAAAUAGGAAAGGGCUCCCCAGGAUGAGCCUACAGCAAGGAGAAAGGCCCAUCACCAGCAGAAGGCUGGACUCAGCAGGAAGUGGAUAGCAGGCCAGGGUAACUACAGCCCGAAGUGUAGGGAGCAGAGUGGUGGGGAGGACAGAGCAGCUAGGGAACAAUGCAAGGUUGGGAUCAACCUGGAAGGGCCUGGACCAUGGCAUUUGACAUCAUCCUAUAAGCUUUAGGAAACCACUGAAGUUUUUAAGUAAAGGAAUGGCACACAAGGUCUGCACUUGAAAGAGAACUCUGGCAAUACUGAGGUGGGAAUAUUUGUCUUGGCCAUGAAUGGCGCCUGCUGGGAGAGAGCCCCAAGGACACUCCCUAACAUCCCUUAACUCCGUGGAGCUUGCCUUCACUUUCUCACCCUUCUUGAUUGUAUGUUCUCCGCUUCCAUCUUUAGAUGACUUCUUCAGGUCACUUGUGAAGGUGUUACCCUCUCUUCCUUCACAUGGUGGAAGGCAGUGGAUUUAGGAGAUCACCAUGUUUGCCCAGCUCUGCCCUAGACCAGCUUUGUGGCCCUGACAAGUCCCUUCCCUUCUGGGCUUCAGGCUCAUUCUGGGGGGUGUGGGAAUGCCAGUGCCAGGGCCAUGGUGAAGUUUAAAUGAGAACACCUGUAACUCCUGCUGCGCUUUGCUUCCUUUAGACAGAUGCUCUCUUGUGCUUGUAUUGGCUUCAGACACCCAGAGCAUCCAAGACGCCUUCUCUCUUCUUGCCCCUUGGUUCCAGGGGAGGAAAGGGAAGCCCCAGGAUAUACUUUUACCUUUGCAGACCAUUUUUGAGAAGACUUUAUGAGUAGAAUCUGGAUGAGGGCCACAGAAAUCAGCUGUCAUUUAGGAUGAGCCUAGCUUGGGUUUCAUACAUUGAUCCUCUGGGGUUUAAAUCCAGGUUCUCAGGUCACCAAUGCGUAUUUAAUACUUGGGGUGACUUAGCAUUUGUGAGAAUGAAGACUGUCAGAGCUGGAUUUUAAACAUCAUCUAGCCCAGGGCUUCUCAAACCUAGUUGCACAUUAGAAUCACCUGGGAGCUUUGAAAAAAUGCUGAUCCCCAGAGCCCACCCCUCAGACCAAUUGAAUCAGAACCCCUGGGGUUGGGGUUGGCAGGCAGCGAUAAUGUUUUCAAAUUCACCAGAUGAGCACCAGGAUGAGUCACUGAUCUAGCCCAACCCUUUUGCUCUUAGAUGGGGACACCGAGACUUGAUUGGCCCGUAGCUGGGAACCCUGAUGCCAAGGCCAGUUCUCUUCCCAUUGUUACUUAUUCAGUAGGUUUCUUUGGAGGCCGUUAUAUGCUGGGCACUGUUCUAGGAGCUGGGGGUGCAGCCAUCUUGGAGCUUACCCUCUAAAUGCACGAGUGGCCUCCAGAUUAGUAGGGGCUGGGGGUGGGGGGAGCACACUGAGGUUGGGUCCUUCCAGCAGUGGGUCAAGAAAGUCUUUCUCAGCCUCUGCACAUCAUCGGAUGGUAAUGAUAAUAAUAGCUAAUACCCACUGAACAUUUAUUUUAUAUUCGCUAUCUUUCUGAAUCCUUGCAUCUCCCCUAGAAUAAUUAGCCCCAUUCCAGAGACUUAAUAGGUGUGUUUCAUGGGUGCAGAGCUAGUGCCUGGUGGGCCUGGCAUUUGAACCUAGGACUGUCUGAUACCAAAGCCCUUUCUCUUAACUCACUUUAUUCUAAGACAGAAAGUAUACAAAGA